GACGAACGNNGGCGGCGUGCUUAACACAUGCAAGUCGAACGAAGAGCGAUGGAAGCUUGCUUCUAUCAAUCUUAGUGGCGAACGGGUGAGUAACGCGUAAUCAACCUGCCCUUCAGAGGGGGACAACAGUUGGAAACGACUGCUAAUACCGCAUACGAUCUGACCUCGGCAUCGAGGAUGGAUGAAAGGUGGCCUCUAUUUAUAAGCUAUCACUGAAGGAGGGGAUUGCGUCUGAUUAGCUAGUUGGAGGGGUAACGGCCCACCAAGGCGAUGAUCAGUAGCCGGUCUGAGAGGAUGAACGGCCACAUUGGGACUGAGACACGGCCCAGGCUCCUACGGGAGGCAGCAGUGGGGAAUCUUCCGCAAUGGACGAAAGUCUGACGGAGCAACGCCGCGUGAGUGAUAACGGCCUUCGGGUUGUAAAGCUCUGUUAAUCGGGACGAAAGGCCUUCUUGCGAAUAGUNAGAAGGAUGAC
Molecule: ribosomal RNA, 475 nt
Filed under: uncultured bacterium
Lineage: Bacteria
Description: bacterial SSU rRNA
Rfam family: Bacterial small subunit ribosomal RNA
Source: RNAcentral